Molecule: long non-coding RNA, 206 nt
Filed under: Mytilus galloprovincialis (Mediterranean mussel)
Lineage: Eukaryota; Metazoa; Mollusca; Bivalvia; Mytilida; Mytilidae
Source: RNAcentral
AAAUUUACGACAAAAUAAAACUGUCUGUCAAAAUGGUUCAACAUUAUGAUCAGUAUGUGAGAAUAUCCAGUUUUAAAAGUACAUAGUUAUUACAAAACAACAAAAAGCAGAUGGCUUCUCGACAUUUCAAUGACAUAAAAAAUGUAAACAAACAUGAUUUUUUCACAAAUUCGACUAGAAAAACUACUUUAAUACGAAUAAGGGCA